Pezoporus occidentalis (night parrot) is the source of this 818-nucleotide long non-coding RNA. RefSeq lists it as uncharacterized. Lineage: Eukaryota; Metazoa; Chordata; Aves; Psittaciformes; Psittacidae. The transcript has 3 exons. The record is from RefSeq and is a predicted model, not a curated record.
ACUGGGAGCUGCGCCCAGGUUCUGGGGCUUUGCUGGCCCUGGCUGAUGCUGCAACUUACGAUAUUCUCACAUCUCAUGGAUUUCCAGCCCUUUUUAUUGCCCUUCCUGCAUUUUAUCUUGCAUCCCAGAAAUAUCAGUGGGUUGCUAUCUCUGCAGAGGAAGGGACUGAAACAAAAGUGCUGCAGCUGCUGCAGUCCAUAGCAUCUGCCUGAUGUCACCAUUAGAGCUAAGACAUCAGGUAAGGCACCAAAGGUGGUGGGAUGCAGAUGAGAUCUUCAUGCUCAGGAGUGAUGAGACACUUCAGGAGGAAGGAUCUGAAGAACAGGAUUUCACAGAUGGUGGUGGUGGUUGUUGCUGUUAUUUUAGUCUCCAGGACUAGCCUAAUGGCUUUCCUAGGGGAUCUGCAUUAUCUUCUACCUUCUCCUGGAAACAGUUACAUUGUUUGGAGCCUCUACAGGUAACAGAAUUGGCACCACAUCCAGCCGAAAAUGUGGAUAUUUUUAUGCUAACGUGUCUUUAGGUCAUUCUAGCUUGAAACACAAAUGGUGUACGAGCAUCAAAUUUCACUAAGCACUGGCAUAGUCUCUGAUAUAGAACAGUGACUACAUUAAAAUCUCAGAGAAACAUGUAAUUUUUUCUGUGCUGUGGUUCCACAAAAGGGCUGAAUACAGGUUAAGUUCAAUAAUACAAGAUUUAAAAAGUGUUUUUGUUUGAUUUAUGCAAUCCCCUAUGUGGAUGAUUCUUUUAAUCGCUUUCAUAGCUGUUGAGCUGUGUAAUAAUACAUGCUUCUUGACUUCACAGGUGUGCUUUCUCCCAAA